Molecule: ribosomal RNA, 478 nt
Filed under: uncultured bacterium
Lineage: Bacteria
Description: partial 16S ribosomal RNA
Rfam family: Bacterial small subunit ribosomal RNA
Source: RNAcentral
GAUGAACGCUGGCGGCGUGCUUAACACAUGCAAGUCGAACGGGAAACCUUUUAAUGAAGCUUCGGCAGAUUUAGCUGGUUUCUAGUGGCGGCCGGGUGUGUAACGCGUGCGUAACCUGCCUUAUACAUGGGGAUAACAGUCAGAAAUGACUGCUAAUACCGCAUAAGCGCACAGGACCGCAUGGUCCGCUGUGAAAAACUCCGGUGGUAUAAGAUGGCCCCGCGUUGGAUUAGCUUGGUGGUGGGGUAACGGCUCACCAAGGCGACGAUCCAUAGCCGGCCUGAGAGGGUGAACAGCCACAUUGGGACUGAGACACGGCCCAGACUCCUACGGGAGGCAGCAGUGGGGAAUAUUGCACAAUGGGCGAAACCCUGAUGCAGCGACGCCGCGUGAAGGAAGAAGUAUCUCGGUAUGUAAACUUCUAUCAGCAGGGAAGAUAGUGACGGUACCUGACUAAGAAGCCCCGGCUAACUACGUG